Gastrolobium bilobum is the source of this 1998-nucleotide RNA transcript. It is a transcript of the gene named splicing factor U2af large subunit B-like, with no coding region annotated. The record is from RefSeq and is a predicted model, not a curated record. The transcript is spliced from 13 exons. NCBI's taxonomy places the organism in Eukaryota, Viridiplantae, Streptophyta, Magnoliopsida, Fabales, Fabaceae.
AUUACAUAAAUCGCUAAGCGAAGGAAGCACUGACUCUGACUCACCGAUAAAGAUAGAGAAAGAAGAGAGAGAGUGAGAGAUGGCUGAAUACGAAGAGAGAUACGAAGGGAACGGAGAAGAAGAAGAGCUUCACAAUUCUCAUGGUCAUGCUCAUGCUGAUUCUUCUCCUCAACUUGGUGACACUACCCACCUCGAUCUCACCGAUUCCAAAUCUCGCCUUGGAUCUCGUGAUUAUGACAGAGAAUCUUCCAGAAGCAGAGAGAAGGAGCGAGAGAAAGGGAGAGAAAAGGAGAGAAAAAGAGAAAAGGGGAGGGACAGGGAUAGGGAGAGAAGUAGGGACAGGGAUACAGAGAGAAGCAGGGACAGAGAUAGGGAGAGAAGCAAAGACAAGGAACGAGAUCGUGAUGGGGAGAAGGAAAGGGACCGGGACAGGGAUCACCAUCAUAGAGAUAGACACAGGGACCGUAGUGAGAGAAGGGAAAGGGGGAGGGAUAGAGAUGAUGAUGAUGAUUAUUACAGAAGUCGGGACUUUGAUAGACGAAGGGAUUAUGAUAGAGAGGAUAGGCAUAAGCGCAAGUCUAGAUCUCGAUCUAGUUCACGUACAAGGGCUCGAUCUGAGCAUAGAUCAAGGUCACGUUCUCGUUCACGCUCAAAGAGCAAAAGGACUAGUGGUUUUGAUAUGGCUCCCCCUGCUUCUGCAAUGUUGGCUGGUGCUUCUGCUGUUGCAGGCCAGAUCACGGGGGCAAAUCCUGCAAUUCCGGGAAUGUUUCAAAAUAUGUUUCCAUUGGCUACAAAUCAGAUGCAGCAAUUUAGUGCACUCCCUGUCAUGCCAGUUCAGGCUAUGACUCAACAGGUACCAAAUAUUCAGGCUACACGGCAUGCUAGGCGGGUUUAUGUAGGGGGCCUCCCUCCUACAGCCAAUGAGCAGUCAGUUGCAACUUUCUUCAGUCAGGUUAUGGCCAAGAUUGGAGGAAACACUGCUGGUCCAGGUGAUGCGGUGGUCAACGUUUACAUCAACCAUGAUAAGAAAUUUGCCUUUGUCGAGAUGAGGUCUGUUGAGGAAGCUAGCAAUGCAAUGGCUUUGGAUGGGAUUAUUUUUGAGGGGGCACCUGUUAAAGUCCGGAGACCUACUGAUUAUAAUCCUUCUCUAGCUGCCACCCUAGGUCCAAGCCAACCUAAUCCAAACCUUAAUCUGGGCGCUGUUGGUUUAACCCCUGGGUCAGCUGGUGGACUUGAUGGUCCUGAUCGGAUUUUUGUGGGUGGACUACCUUAUUACUUUACCGAAACACAGAUCAGAGAGCUUUUAGAGACUUUUGGUCCUCUUCGAGGUUUUGAUCUAGUUAAAGAUAGAGAAACAGGAAACUCAAAGGGUUAUGCAUUUUGUGUUUACCAAGAUCUUGCAGUUACAGAUAUUGCCUGUGCAGCUCUCAAUGGAAUAAAAAUGGGAGAUAAGACUCUUACAGUUAGACGAGCUAAUCAAGGUGCAAACCCACAGCAGCCUAAGCCUGAGCAAGAGAGCAUUUUAAUGCAUGCACAGCAGCAGAUUGCUCUGCAGAAACUAAUGUUACAACCAGCAUUAGUGGCAACAAAGGUGGUGUGUUUAACUCACGCAGUUUCUGCUGAUGAGCUCAAAGAUGAUGAGGACUACGAAGAGAUUCUUGAUGAUAUGAGACAGGAGUGCUCCAAAUUUGCCAUUUGUAAUCCCACGUUCUCUCAUAACGAAUCAGACCUAACUUACAGAUCGAAGCCUCCAUAACCUUCUAUCCUUGUUCACGCAUGCUUUUUUCAUUGCAUGUUUUUGAAAAUUUAUUUGCAUAUCUAACUUUUUUUUUGUUUUCACAACUUUCAGGUACUUUGGUGAAUGUGGUGAUCCCUCGUUCCCAACCAGUUCCACAACCAGAUGGUGAACAGUCUGCAGGAGUUGGAAAGGUGUUUUUGGAGUAUGUUGAUGUUGAUGGUGCUACAAAAGCACGUGCUGGAUUGAAUGGUCGUAAAUUU